UCAAUGCGUUGCCUGAGCGCAAGUCGACAAAAAGGAUGAACGAAGGCGGUCCACCAAAUUGGAGCAAGUGCAAGCGGGGGGAAGGGAUGAGGCAGAUGUGGGAAACGAGAUAGGAAGAUGAUGAUUUGAUCCUCUUCCUCUUCGAUCCCAUCUUUUCCAUGCUUGUUCUCGCCCGCACGACCACCGUCACGCCCAGUCACAUCUAAGUGUAUGUCUGAAGGUUAUGGAAAGUUUGAUGCAAAAGGGCAUUUUUCUUCUCCUUUGAGAUGAUUUGUGCGCGCAGAGUUGGUACUGUUUCUCUAAAUUUUACUCUCUCUCUUUUUUUUUUGUGUACUUUCAUAUUAUUAGAUCCAACGAAUAAAAUUUAAUCAAUUUGUUAAAUUAUGUAAUAUCAUUCCGACCAAUUCAUUGCUCCCGAGUACCAUUCCAGCAGCGAGCAGGUGAAGAAGAGGGCUCGGAUCUCGUGUCUCUAUUGUAGUAGCUGCUGGUGGUUGAUUCAUGAUCGCUUCACUCCUAUCUCCCAAUUUAUCAGGGUUGGUGAUCGUUCGGAUCUAGAGAAAGAGAGGAAGAGGAAGAAGAAAGAUUCCAAGGGGGAGAGGAAGGAAAGGUUGACAGGAGAGAGUGAGCACAGAGAGGGAACAAAUUAAACAAGAAAUGAUGGAGCUAUUGUUUUCGCUGCGUGCUUACUUCUCUUCCUGUCAGCCUUUUCGACUCCUUCCUUGUCUUCUUCUUGAUCCUUAUCUUCAACCUCGGUAGUAGCGGAGACUCUACUCCUCUCCCGAUUUUCAAAAGGAGUUUUUUUUUUCACUGAGAUAUCCUUGUUUACCGAUUGUCUUUCUCGAUUACUAGUUUCUUGCUUCCUUUUAUUGAAUUUGUAUCAGCCGUGGCGAGUUAAGUUUGGGAAUGGAAGCGGGACUUUUGAGAAGGAGAGUACCAAUCCGGAUAGGCAGAUAUGCACACCGUCCACUCGCCAGGUGAGCUAGUGGAGGUGAUCUUGGAAAACUAGCGUGGAGGAAGAUUUAAUAUAGAACUUCAAUGAGUUUGAACUGCAGCGACAGGAUUUCCAAAUCGCAAGUAUUUCAUACUGUUCUUGCAAUAGAAGAUUAAAGCUAUGCCACUGAGAAACACUACAAGAGGAAUACAAAAAAUUGAGUGUAUGGUUGUGAAUCCGAAUAGGGUCUGCAGAUUGGACUUAUAAUGCCAUGACAUGUUUCAUAUUCACGUCUCCAAACUUGCAUGUUCUUGAACACUUUUUUAACCUUGUCUAGGCAAAUUAUUAGGAGUUGAAUAUAUGAAUUUUAUCCAUCUGUAUUCAAUGAUAAAUCUUAAAUGAUUCAGAUAGUUGAUGAUAUUGUUUUAA
This is a long non-coding RNA of Zingiber officinale, 1360 nucleotides long. RefSeq lists it as uncharacterized. NCBI's taxonomy places the organism in Eukaryota, Viridiplantae, Streptophyta, Magnoliopsida, Zingiberales, Zingiberaceae. The transcript has 4 exons. The record is from RefSeq and is a predicted model, not a curated record.